AAGUCGUAACAAGGUUUCCGUAGGGUGAGUUAUUAUCCCCCAUUCCCUGUUCUUGUGAUUUUUGCUAACAUUUUUUCCAGUGAACCUGCGGAAGGAUCAUUAAAGGUUUAGGGUACCCAGUGCCCAAACUUCAACCCUAUGUUUUAACUAAACCUGUUUCUUUGCCGGUUUCGACCGGCAGAAGUUUUCUCAAACUCAUUAUAAACGUGUCUUCUGAAUCCAAAAUUAAAUAAUAUAAAACUUUCAACAACGGAUCUCUUGGUUCUG
This 267-nucleotide unclassified non-coding RNA is filed under the name Lecanoromycetes sp. RNAcentral's name for it is "partial contains small subunit ribosomal RNA, internal transcribed spacer 1, and 5.8S ribosomal RNA". The record is from RNAcentral. Lineage: Eukaryota; Fungi; Ascomycota; Lecanoromycetes.